Long non-coding RNA from Vicia villosa (hairy vetch), 3656 nucleotides. RefSeq lists it as uncharacterized. The record is from RefSeq and is a predicted model, not a curated record. Lineage: Eukaryota; Viridiplantae; Streptophyta; Magnoliopsida; Fabales; Fabaceae. The transcript is spliced from 8 exons.
AAACCCGCACCCGAAAUAUCAGGUGGCAUCCUAGUCUAAACCCAAUCAACUCGCCGUUGACUCGGAUUCCGGUGGCCUCCGCGGAUUUUGGUAUGCCUGCCAUCCGAGAGGACAAAAUUGUAAUUACACAUACUUUCAACUAAUCAUCUUCUACCACCAUGCUGCCUUCUCCACAGCCAAAAUCGCCGUCGCGACCGGUAAUACUGAUAUGCCUCGUUCCGCCGCAAACGGCGUUCCAAACUAGCUGUUGUGCAAAAUCACCAACCAACCACCCUCGUGGUUAAACUUCAAUGAUGCUCACCAGUCUUCUCUCCAUCAUACUAUCGUCUCUCUCCCCCCCCAAAAUCGCCGUCGCCACCGGUAAUACUGAUAUGCCUCGUUCCGCCGCAAACGGCGUUCCAAACUAGCUGUUGUGCAAAAUCACCAACCAACCACCCUCGUGGUUAAACUUCAAUGAUGCUCACCAGUCUUCUCUCCAUCAUUGCUGUACACCCCCCCAAGCAACAAGGCAACAGCGAAUGUGAAGAAGAAUCUCAUGAAAUUGUAAUAUGGAUUGCGCCAGUAAGACCAAUGUUGUUUCCAUAAGCAAGCCAUACAUUGAACGAAAAAGGACCUCGAGUACUUCGAAGGAAAUUCAAGGUCCUUUGAACUAGGAGAUGGAGUGCUCAAUUCUUCAAUAAGAGCUUUGUUUCUCCUGCAACAAAUAUCACCUGCAGCUCUUGCAUCUAACCCAGAAGUUGGCUCAUCCAUGAAUAUGAUAGAAGGAUUAGCAACCAACUCAACUGCAAUAGUCAACCUUUUUCGCUGCUCAGUUGAGAGACCGGUUAUACCAGGGAGACCAACAUAUGCAUCCCUUAUUGAGUUCAGCUCCACUAGCUCCAUGACUUCCUCAACAAACAUCUGCAAUCGGAGCCAUGCUGAAUAGAGCAAGGAUUCAUAGACAGUAAUAUGAGGAGAGUGUAUAUCAUUUUGCUCACAAUAUCCCGAAAUUCUUGCAAAGGUGUCUUGCUUUUUGGGAUACCCGGAAACUGUGAUGUUUCCAGUAAUAUAGCCUCCGGUUUUUCUACCAGCAAGUACAUCCAUCAAAGUUGUUUUUCCAGCACCAGUGACACCCAUAAGUGCAGUGAGAACGCCUGGCCUAAAAGCUCCGCUGACACGGUUCAGAAGAACCAACUUAUCUUCUGUGACACCCUGACUCCUCAUUGCCUUCAAGUUUAGAACAGAGAUUUAAUGAAACUGAUUUAAAAAUUAAGAACCGAGAGCGGAAUGCAAAUUUUUUUUCGUUUAAGUAAAUAUUACCGGAGGCAUGUCUACAGAAUAUGAGACGUCAUCAAAGGACUGUAACCGAUGACGUAAUAGGUAAGAAAUGUCCAAGCUGCUGCUUCAGCAAAUGUUAUCGGGAUUUUCAGGAUCCAUGUAGGAAGAGCAUAUGCCCAAGAAGGGUAGAAGAGAAGGUCCCUUUGCUUGUAAAACACUGGAAGCCUCGCAAUCGUCGUCGCAAGAUCAGCAAACCCAUUAAACAUGACCACCAAAUUUCCAAAGAACAAUGCACCGGCAUAAAUGCCCCCAUCAAUCACUGAAUUGUGGUGCAUUCCAGUUCGGAGAAAAACGGUCAUGGUAGCAGUAGCCAUCACAGAAAUCUUAAAAGGAGGAUAAAUGCAUCAGUGAUGGAGUAACAGGUACAUAGUUUAUACAUAAAAUGAGAAAUUAUAAUGUUCUAAUUGUUUAAACCUACUUGGCAAAGUUUGAAUUUAUAGUAAAAUGCAUUGCGCCUCAUAAGUAAAUAUUCUCUUGCUAAGCAAGCUUUGAAUAAUUCCCACUUUCCAAUUCCAUACGUGUUGGUCGUCAAAGCAGCUGGGUGGCUUUGAGACUUGUCAAAUGGAGUAACAAGUUCAUUGCCAAGAGUUCUCCCAACAUGAAAUGACUCAAAUAUCUCAGCAAACUCCUUAGGUGUCACAAAUUUAUAAGGCUUCCUUCUUUCUACCCAAUAUUGCUCCUGAUCUUUCAUUGAUGUCACCUACAACAGUAUGCGCAAAAUUAAACUGUAAAAACUCACUCCUAUCCGUAUAGACUGUAGAAAGAAGAUAAGGAUACACUUACUUCUUGUAAAAAGUCUGCCACAGAUUUUCUCUCGGGACACUUAAAACCUAAUGAACCAAAAAAUUCUAGCACAUGUUCACAAGGACCCUGGUACACAAUGUGUCCCUCAGAGAGUAGAAUAAUGUCGUCAAAAAGAUCAUAAGUCUCUGGUGGUGGCUGCAACAGUGAGAUCACAGCGGUUCCGUUGAGAAGUUGGACCGACUGCUUCACUGAUUUCACAACUUGAUAGGUUGUUGAGCUAUCCAAACCGGUUGAUAUUUCAUCCAUGAGAAGAGCCUUAGCUGUUCCUACUAGCAUCUCCCCUGUAUUAAUAGAUUCAUAACGUUUUCUCAUUGCCACUAUAUUAUGGUGAAUCAUGAUGUUAUUCAUCAAUAUCAAAAUCAAGUAUGUUUUACCUGUUGUAACCCGUUUCCUUUGUCCACCAGAGACGCCUCUUAACAUUGGACCUCCCACCACUGUAUCUGCACAACUCUCUAGUCCCAAAAGCUGAAAAUAUAAAGCAAAUAAAACUAAAUUAGUUGCUACCCUAUGAGGAUCAAAGAAGGCUUUGUGUGUAUGAAUUUUUACCUUUAAAGUAUAAUCUACUGCAAGAUUUUCUUUCCCGCCCUCAGUUGCAACAGCCUAAACAUAUUUCCAAGUCACAAGUUCAUUAGCUAUUAUAUUCAUAAUUGAAAAUAGGAAAGAAAAAGAUGGUGCGUGCGUCGUCUCCUACCUUCAUAUAGAUAUCUAUAUCUGGAUCAGGGAAGAUGUUUCUCUCAAUUUCUCUUCUAGAUAAUUCUUCUAGCAUAUCUGCAUUUUACCAAAGAUAUUCCUUUUCAACUUAGAAUCAUGUUUUCAAAUUUCAAAUGUUUUGAAAUUGCAUCGAGAUGAAACAUUUAGAAAAAAAUGCAAUGUCAUGUACUAACCUAUUCUAGAUCCAACACCUUGGAAUCUUGCUGAGAAGGCUAAAGUUUCUCUAACUGUCAACUCUCCAAUGUGAAGAUCGUUUUGACUGACAUAAGCAGCAGUUCUUUGAGUAACCUUUAGAUUGGGAUCAAGUUUUCCAGCCAAGGCCAAAAGGAGUGUCGUUUUUCCAGAACUUGGAGGGCCCAAAAGCAAUGUCAUCCUGGAGAUAUAUAGGUUUGGCGACGGGGAAUACUUUCAACAAUGCAUGCAAGCGUUUUAUCGUUCAAGGGUGUCUUGUUAUCAAUGCAACCAUCUAUCCCUGCACUAAAAAAUUCUUCCCGUUGUACUUCUGUAAGGUAAAUACCUACCAAGGAGAAUUAAGUCAUAGACUUCCUCAACACAAAUUAUUUUUAUAGCUUCUUGGCUAGUUUUCACUGAACGAGUUUCCACACCAAGUCUAUUCAACAUAACUUCAUGAACCUUUCCAAUGCAGUCAUCAUGGUGCACAACAAGUGCUCUUAUUAUUCUUCGAUGGGGGCUUGGUGAAAGAUCAUCAUCUUCACUAUCUUCACUAUCAGAUAACAUUAUUUGUUUACCUUUAUGAUCACUUAUACUGACCAUCUUUCUACACAAUUGAUGAUAUAUCAAUUCAAUUAAUUAUAUUAAUUAUC